GACGUAGGGAGCAAGCGUUGUCCGGAUUUACUGGGCGUAAAGGGCGCGUAGGCGGUCUGUUAAGUGUGAAGUGAAAUCUCCAGGGCUCAACCCGGAAACUGCUUCGCAUACUGGCAGACUGGAGGAAGGAAGAGGUGAAUAGAAUUCCCGGUGUAACGGUGACAUGUGUUGAUAUCGGGAGGAAUACCAAUGGCGAAGGCAGUUCACUGGUCCUUUCCUGACGCUGAGGCGCGAAAGCGUGGGUAGCAAACAGGAUUAGAAACCCUAGUAGU
This 272-nucleotide ribosomal RNA is filed under the name uncultured bacterium. Its description in RNAcentral is "partial 16S ribosomal RNA". It matches the Rfam family "Bacterial small subunit ribosomal RNA", at positions 524 to 794 of the family's 1533-position model. The record is from RNAcentral.